UACCAUAUGGAAAGGUGGGAGAUACGGU
This 28-nucleotide non-coding RNA is filed under the name Rattus norvegicus (Norway rat). The record is from RNAcentral. Lineage: Eukaryota; Metazoa; Chordata; Mammalia; Rodentia; Muridae.